Molecule: long non-coding RNA, 9315 nt
Filed under: Zostera marina
Lineage: Eukaryota; Viridiplantae; Streptophyta; Magnoliopsida; Alismatales; Zosteraceae
Description: long non-coding RNA (ZMAR_LNC004632)
Source: RNAcentral
CGGAGAAAGUGGAGGAGAAGAAACCAAAGCAAUGAACCAGUCGACCUCACCGGAGGGAGAAAAUCCGGCCAUCGUCGAUCAGAAGUGGGAUCCCCACGACCCUAUUCAAGAUUAAUUUUAGUUCCUAUUUAAUCGGUUAGUUAAGUCAUGAGAGUUGAGACUAUGUUAGUUAUUUUAAGAGCGACAGAUGAUGGUUGUAACUAGGGGUGAAAAUGAGAUGGUCACGAACGGGACGGUAUUGCCUCUGGUAUCCACUCUGUUUUGCCAAAACAGGACGUGGAACGGGAUGGUAUUGAGGCAUCUGCCACAAUAUUUAAUCUUCCGGGUUUGUAAAUUAUAAUUAAUUGCAAAAUCAAAUCUUAACAAUUUACACAGAAACAUUUGUUGUUUAGAAGUCUGAAUGACUUGCGUUAACACAUUUUUUAAAAUUCUGUGAUCAGUCCUGAUAAUGAAUCUGGAUCCCAGUAAAUAAUGUCUUCACUUAUUUACUGUUUGUGUUAUAGCAAACAUCUCUUUAAUAUAGACUGAGACACCUAUCAUUCUUUCAGAAAUUUUACAACUGUAGAAGGCAAUCAGGUGUUUCUCUUGAAUUAGAACUAGUUGUCCACACUCCAUUAGCACAAGUAUCUGUUUCAAUUUUGAAUUGUUUUUAAAAAUUUGGAUAAUUUAACACAGGUGUUGUAGUCAUGGCUUUUUUCAGACUUCGGUCUCCAUUUAAAACUGUCUUUUUUAAUAUAUCAGUCAGGACAGAAGCUAUUUGUGCAUAAUUUCUCACAAAUCUUCUAUAAUAUCCAGUUAAGCCUAAGAAUCCCCUCAGUAGCUUGAUUGUAGACGGUUUCUUCCAUUCUAUCAUUGUUUUGAUUUUAUCUAGGCCAGGGUGAACUCCCUCAGAUGAUAUAAUGUGACCCAAGAAACCUACAGAUCGAUUCCUUCCCAAAAGAGCAUUUAGGAAGUUUAGCCAGUAGCUUAUUGCUCCUCAGAAUUUCGAAGACUUGAGCUAAAUGUUCCAGAUGAUCAGAAAUAGAUGAGUUGUAGAUAAGAAUAUCAUCAAAGAAAAUUAUGACAAAUUUUCUUAAAUAUCUCUGAAAAAUAGAAUUCAUCACAGACUGAAAUGUUGAUGGGGCAUUAGUAUGCCCAAAUGGCAUAACCAGAAAUUCAUAAUAGCCAGUGUGUGUUCUGAAUGCAGUCUUGUGAGUGUCAGAUGGAUAUAUUCUGAUCUGAUGGAAUCCCGAUCUUAGGUUAAGUUUUGAGAAGAUGGUGGCUCCUUUUAAUUUUCCUAGCAACUCGUCCACUGUAGGGAUUGAAAACUUUUCCUUGAUGGUCAUGGCGUUUAGGGCUUUGUAGUACGUCAACACACAUCCUGUAACCUUCGUCUUUUUAUUUAUUAGAAGGACAGGUGAUGAAUAUGAACUUGAGCUGGGUUUGAUUGUCUUUUAUUUUAACAUUUCAACUACUAAUUUCUCAAUUUCAGUUUUUUUAAAUUGGGGAUCGAUACAUGUUGGGUCUCACAUUUACAGGUUGGUUGUCUAGGGACAAGAGGAAUCUGUGUUCUUGUUCUCUGACAGGUGGUAGUUCAUAUGGAUCAGCAAAUAUAUCAUUGAAUUGUUGCACUACUUUAUGGAUCUGAGGUUGUUCUUCUUUCAAUGUUUUUUGUUUUACUGGUGUCUUCUCUACUGUUUCAUAAUAGCAUAGAUAUGCUUCUCUAGUGCUAGCAUAUAAGCUCUUCAAUUCAGCAGAUAUGAGUGGUUCAUUUGAUAUCCACUCUAAGUCUUUCCAUGUAAUUUCUUUGUUUUCCCAAGUGAAGCUCAUUUUCAUAUUAUCAUAAUUAGAUAGAAUAUUGCCCACUUUCUUUAGCCACUGUAUGCCAAUUACCACAUUUGAACCUGACAUCUUGAUCAGAAAAAUAUCCAUGCAUACUAUAACACCUUGUAUUUUAAUCUCAACAUUUUUGCACAUCUUGUCGCAUAUUAUUUUUUCUUCCCCACUAGUAGCUACUGUAAAUGGCUUUAUUGCAUGUAUCACUAGUUUCAAUCUGAUAGCUGUCUCUAUUUGAAUGAAAUUAUGUGUAGAUCCCAAAUCUACUAGUAUGCUUACAGCUUGGCUCUUAAUAAACCCUUCUAGCUUGAAGGUGUUGGGGUUCAAAUGUCCUUCAAAUGCGUGCCUGCUGAUCCCUGAAGGAGAUUCAUCACUUGUGAUGAUUGAUGGUAUUUCUUCUGUGAUAUUUUCUGUUUGUUCUUCCAUUUCCAUCAACCAGGAUUCAUCAGCUGAUAGCAUAAAAAUUCUUCCUUUGCAUUUGUGUCCAAGAGUAAAUUUAUCUUCACAGUUAAAGCAUAAGCCUUUAGCUGCUCUUUCCUUUCUUUCUUCCUGAGAUAGUCUUUUGAAGGUUGAUAUUUUUCCUGGCCUUUCUUUCUUUACGUCAGUUCCCCUUUUAUUUUUCUCAUUUACAGUUUUGUAUGUUGUUUCAGUUGCAUUACCCCAGUGUUUAUUCUGUUUAUUGCUGUAGCUGAAUUUAUUAAAUUUAGAUCAUGUCUGUCCUUCAAUCAACAAAGCCACAUCACCAACUUCUUGCUAAUCAUCUGGUCACUGGCUUUAAUUACUUCUUUUCUGAUGUUUUCUUUUAAUUCAGAAAUGAACAUUUCUAGAAUAAAAUAUUCUGGUAAUCCCAAACACCUCGUGCUCAUCUCUUCAAAUUUAUCUUGAUAUUCAGUAACACUUAGAUCUUGCAUUAGUUUGUUUAAAUUCCCCCUGGUAAAGAGUAGUAAACUCUGUUGAAUUUUCUUGUGACAUCAGCCGUAAACUUUUUCCAUGUUGAUAGGAAUCCACUAGCUUCCAUCCAUGAAAAUCACUUUCUUGGAACAAUUAGCAAUUUCUGUUCCUCAAGAGUUUUAUUGUAAAUAAAAAAUCUCCUUACUUGGAACAACCAACCUUCAUACCAUCAAAUCUUGAUAUGUAAACUUUAAAUGUUUUGGAAGGCGUGUAGUUUUCAUCUUCCAGUACGCAAGCUGCAUAUUCAGGUCUGUCCAGAUCUACCAGAGAUAGGUAACUAUGGUCAUUAAACUUUCUUUUUUUUGGGUCUGGGUCUGGAUCUGGAUUUUUUUUUUUGGGGUCACGAACGGUUGAUAGCUUCGAAAAAUUUCUUUAUUUGUCUAGCCAUUUCAGAUAUCGAGUUUGAUACUGAUACUCUAAACUCUGUUAAUUCUUUCCCUUGGGCCAUUUGGAGUUGUAAUCUUGUGAAGUCUGGAUUAGAUAUUUUAUCUGUCAUUUUUGUUCUAGAGCCUGCAAUGAGUACAAGUGUUGAAAAUACCAAUUGAUACCACUAAAUUUAAUUAGAGGUAACAGAGCAAAUUCACCUUCGAGAAUGUGAGACUCCGGUCCGAUGAUCUGAGAUCUCGGGUGCCAAGAGUCGAUCACAGCGAGGAUAAACCUUUUAUCUCUAAAAGAAUAAUCAGAGUGAUUAGUCAUAAAAGGGUGUUUAAAUAAACAUCCUAUACUGAACUGGAUCUACUUGUAAAUAAAUAAAACAAAUUAAGGGUCAUACAGUUUCAUCUAAAGAAAGAAACUGUGAGGUCAAAAAGGAAAAAUGCACACUUAAAGGCAGUUACGAGAUACAAAGAAUCACGAGGGUCGGAUUGCAACUUUAGCCACUUAAAGGCACUCGGGAAAUACAAAGAAGUAUGAGGAUCAGACUACAACUUUAGCCACUUAAAAUAAAGAUAUCGGGCUAAUGGGUAUUCGGACUGCCAUCCGAUUAAAAAUCUGUUUAGUUAAUUAGUUAGUAAAUCUUGUAUUAACUUCUUAAGUUAGUUGGUUAGUUAAUUGGGAUUUCCUAUUAAAUACAACAUUGUAAUCUCUUUUAAUUAAUUGAAUGAAAGAGUUAACUACUUAAGUUUAUACUCAUCACAUCUCUACAGUGAUAACGGCUAAGAAAUUAGGUAAUACGAAUUACCCUAAUUUCUCCCCCAUUCCAGUCGAUUGCUCCCCGUCCGGCGAGCCACUGGAAGUUCAUUCUGCGUGUUCUUCAACUACAGAGCGUGCUCACAUUUUAAUAUGGUAUCUGCCGGUAGUGUCGGUCGUGCUUCCGCUAAUGAAGGAGAGGAAGAGAUCGUCGUUACCCAGAACGAGCAAGAUAAUCAGUCAGGGUCGUCGAGCUCAGCUCCAUCCUCUCCGCCGUCAAUUCUCCACUCCCCUCGCCGCAAGUCGCGCUCAUCCUCCAAGCAUAGACAAAAGAGUCAUCACGGGCAUCACUCCCACAAAUCAAAGAGAUUGGGCCCUGUUUCAGCAAUAAACAACAGGGAGUCUAUCUAUUACUUAAACUCUGGAGAUCAUCCAGGGGCACUGAUAGUCUCUGAUAAGUUGAUUGGGGAGUCCAGUUAUGCAAGUUAGGCAAAUGCCAUGAGGCUCUCCCUACUGUCCAGAAGAAAAAUCAACUUUGUGAAUGGGAUUCAAAAACCAGAGGAUAGAGGAGGAAAAGAAUUUGAAGCAUAGGAGACAGUGAAUGGCCUAGUUCUCUCAUGGAUUGUCAACAGUGUAUCACCUCAGAUAUCAUCUACACUCAUGCAUACUGAAGAAGCAAGCAUUGCUUGGAAGGAUCUUCAAAAAAGGUAUAACCAAGGAAAUGCACCUAAGGUUAACCAAGUGAGGUAUGAUCUAAAUAAUUUACAUCAAGGAUCUGAUAGUGUCACUGUUUUUUAUGAUAAGUUCAAAUCCCUAUGGAAUCAAAAAUUAGAAUUAGAAGACAUUGAUUUUUGUAGUUCAUGCACUCCCAAAUACAAUGUCAAAAUAGAGAAGGAUAAAAUUCACUGGUUCUUGUUAGGACUAAAUGAGGAUUUUAAGACUCUAAGAGGGCAAAUCCUUUUAUAUGAUGAACUACCCAACAUGAACAAAGUUUUUUAUCUUGUCAUAAAAGAAGAAAAACAGAAAAUCUGUUUUAGAGAUAAAAAUGAUAGGCCCAUAGAAUCAUCUGCCUUAUAUGCUAAAAGAACAAAUGAAAAAGAAGAAGAGAAAGAAUUCUAUAGCAAAAAUGGAAAAAAAUUAGAUGCUUCAAAGUACUGUGACAAUUGCAAUUAUUAUGAACAUAUAAGAAAAAAUUGCUAUCAUAUUGUGGGGUUUCCAAAUGACAAGAACAAAGAGAAUAACUAAAAAGGAAAUAAACAAGUUCAAGAAACGUAAGAUUGAGUCUGCAAAUCAAGCCUCGUUCUCAAACUCUACCAUUCCAGGAAUGUCUAGUGAAAAAAUUCUAAUGCUCAAGGACUUCUUGAAAAACAAUGGUAUGAGUCAUUUUUUUAAUACUUUAAAUUUUAAAAUAAAUCAUUUAUAUAAUGUGAUAGAUCUUAAAACAGAAUGGAUCAUAGAUACUGGAGCUUCCAAACAAAUGACUGGGAAUUUUCAGAUCUUUGAUAAACCACCAACUGAAAAUGGUGAACAUUUUGUCACCAUUCCAAGUGGUGAGAUAUGUAGAACUAAAUCAACAAGAAAAAUAACACUUUCCAAAGAUCUAAUUCUACAAGAUGUUCUUUAUAUACCACAAUUUAAAGUAAACUUAAUUUCAGUAAAUAAACUAACUCUGGACAGCAAUUUAAAAAUUUUAUUUGAUGACAAAAAUUGUUAUUUUCAGGGAAGCAAGUUAAGGAGAGUGAUUGGGAAGGGUAGGAGCCAAGAUGGGCUCUACAUAUACAGUUCUAAUCCUCCUGGUUAUGCAUAUACAUCCCUAGACUCUAAAACAUGGCAUAACAGACCUGGACAUAUUUUCAAUGAGAAGCUUGUUAUGUUAGUCAAAAAUCAGCAAAUAGAAUGUAGAAUAAAAAGUUUACUAUGUAAUAAAAAUUCUGUUUUGGAUGAUUGCAAUAAAGUUUUUUCAAAUAAAAAUUGUGAUGUUUGUCCUUUAUCCAAACAAAACAACUCAAAUAUACAAAAAGUACUUCAAAUAGUAAAAACUUAUUUGAUCUAAUCCAUAUAGAUAUUUGGGGUAAAUUCCCAAUUACCACUCAUGAUGGUUUCAAGUAUUUUUUAACCAUUGUAGAUGACUUAAGUAGGACAACUUGGAUUUUUCUAAUGAAAGAUAAUUAAGUCUAUGGCUUAUGAAUGCAUAAGGAAGUUCAUAAUCAAAGUUAAGAACUUCUUCUCUAAAAAUAUAAAAAUAAUAAGAAGUGAUAAUGGUGAAAAAUUUAAAUCAAAUAAAUUCAAAGAUAUGUUUGAGAAUCUUGGAAUUUUACAUCAAAUCACAUGUCCUUACAACCCUCAAUAAAAUGCAAGGGUUGAGAGAAAACAUAAGUGCUUACUUAAUAUAGCUAGGUCCCUACACAUACAAGCCAAUAUUCCCCUAAAGUAUUGGGGAGAAUGCAUAUUGGCUGCCACAUAUAUUAUAAAUAGGAUCCCAUCAAAGAUUCUAGAUAAUAAAACCCCUUUUGAAAUCUUACAAAAACAAAAACCCAAGUAUAAUUUUUUAAGAACCUUUGGGUGCGUAUGUUAUGCAACAACACAUAAUAGAGAACACAAGUUCUCUCCAAAAACGUUUAAGGGAAUAUUCAUGGGAUAUCCUCCCAACAUAAUAGGAUAUUUGAUACUCUGUCUAGAAGAUGAAAAAUUUUAUAUUAGUAGGGAUGUUGUUUUUAGAGAGGAUAUUUUUCCUUUCAAUCAAACUACAUCCAAGAUUGAUCAAAACAAAACAGAAAAUAUCUUCCAACUGCAAAAAAUAUUUAAUGAAGUAUUGGAAGAACCUCAUCCCAAGGAAGAUUGUUUUGAAAUCAUCAAAACAACCAAAAACAAAAAUUAUAAAAAAAUUCUAGACAGACCAGGUAUAACUGGAAAUAACCAGUCUGGUCAGUCUAGAAUCAUACCAAUAAAUAAAGAAUAAGACAGGCCAGAUAUAGCUGAAGAUAAUCAGCCUGCCCAGCCUGAAAUCACACCUGAAAACCAACAAUCAGACAGGCCAGAUAUAACUGAAAAUGAUCAGCCUGGCCAGUCUGAAACUAUAAUAGAAAACACAUUAAAAGUUGCUCUGGACAGGCCAGAAACAACUGAAAAUGAUCAGUUUAGAACAAUUGGCAAUAACCAAUCUGAGCUAAGACAAAUCAUCACUUUUAACUCAGAAAAUUAAGGAUAAAAUGAAGGGAGUCCAGUUCAAACUGAUCAUAUAGAAAAUAAUAGAAGUGAUUAUAGAAAUCAAAAUAAAGGAUCAAAUUCAAACAAAAAUAAUGAAAAUAACACAAAACAAGUUAAAAAUAUAAAACAAACAAGGUUGGGCAGGAUUAUAACCAAACCCAAACACAUUAGUGAUUUUCAUAUGGAUGAUGAAUCACCCAAGAAAAUCAAAUAUUCUAUGACCAACUAUGUGUCAUACCAUAGAGUAAAUGACAAACAUAAGAAUUUCCUAAAACAAAUCACUACAAACAUUGAACCAAGAACCUUCAAUGAAGCAUCCACUAACCCAAAAUGGGUAGAGGCAAUGAAAAAAGAGAUGGAGACCCUCAUCUCAAACAACACUUGGGUCAUAACUGAACUUCCAAAAGGAAAAAAAACAGUAGGAUCCAAGCGGAUAUACAAAAUAAAAUAUAAACCAAAUGGAGAUAUUGAAAGAUAUAAGGUAAGACUAGUAGCAAAUGGUUUCUCUCAAAAAAAAGGUUUGAUUUUUAUGAAAUCUUUGCACCAGUUGUCAAGAUGACAACAGUAAGAAUUAAGGUUUUAGAACCGAUUCUUAAUCUUUAUGAAAAAUUAAGAACCACACUUUUAGAAAUGGGUUUUAAACAAACCAAAUCAGACUACUCCCUCUUCAUAUAUAAGAGAAAAAAAAUGAAAACAUAAUUUAUCUAAUUAUAUAUGUAGAUGACAUAAUCAUCACAGACAGCAAUGAGCUAGAAACAGGAUUUUUAAAAAUACAAUUAGAAAAUAAAUUUAAACUAAAUUUAAACUAAAAGAUCUUGGAAAAUUAAGCUAUUUUCUAAAAAUUGAGGUAUCAUAUUCUAAUGAAGGUAUUCUUUUGUCUCAAAGGAGAUAUGCCUUAGAAAUACUUGAGGAAAGUGGCAUUUCAGGUGCAAAAGAAUCUAAAAUACAUAUGGAAAGGAAUAUAGAUCUCAAAAGUGAAUCUAAACCGAUUCAAGAUCCAACAUUCUAUAGGAAAUUAGUUGGAAAACUGAUAUACCUCAAUAUCACAAGACCUGACUUAAGCUAUGAGUCCACUGGCUUAGUCAGUUCAUUUAAAAGCCUUAUUCAAAGUAUUAAAAUACUUGAAAGGAGCCCCAGGGCAGGGAAUCAUUUAUAAAAAAAAUCAGGAUUUGAGUAUACAUGCAUACUGUGUUCUGAUUGGUCUGGUUGCCAAAUAACUAGGAAAUCUAGCUGUAACUGGUUUUUGCAUCCUAAUAGGGAAUUCUAUAAUAUCUUGGAAAUCCAAGAAACAAGCAAUAAUUUCAAGAUCCUCUUGUGAAGCUGAAUAUAGAGCAAUAGCUCAAACAGCUUGUGAGGUGAUAUGGAUUCAUCAACUAAUUAAAGAGAUGAAUUUCAAAACAAACAACAAAAUAUUGUGAUAACAAAUCGGCAAUUAAUCUAGCUAAUAACCCUGUUUUCUAUGAGAGAACAAAGCAUAUAGAAAUUGAUUGCCACUUCAUUAGAAACUUAAUCACCCAAGGAGUAGUUUGCCUAAAACAAAUUGGAACCAAAUUCCAAUUAGCAGACAUGUUCACUAAACCUAUGGGUGAGCUCGAGAUUACAUCAUCCUCUGUCAAGCUUGGAGUCAUAAACUUUUACUCCAGAGCUUGAGGGGGGAGUAAAAGAAUAAUCAGAGUGAUUAGUCAUAAACAGGGUGUUUAAAUAAACAUCCUAUACUGAACUGGAUCUACUUGUAAAUAAAUAAAACUAAGGGUCAUACAGUUUCAUCUAAAGAAAGAAACUGUGAGGUCAAAAAGGAAAAAUGCACACUUAAAGGCAGUUACGAGAUACAAAGAAUCACGAGGGUCGGAUUGUAACUUUAGCCACUUAAAGGCACUCGGGAAACACAAAGAAGUAUGAGGACCAGACUACAACUUUAGCCACUUAAAAUAAAGAUAUCGGGCUAAUGGGUAUUCGGACUGUCAUCCGAUUAAAGAUCCGUUUAGUUAAUUAGUUAGUAAAUCUUGUAUUAACUUCUUAAGUUAGUUGGUCAGUUAAUUGGGAUUUCCUAUUAAAUACAGCAUUGUAAUCUCUUUUAAUUAAUUGAAUGAAAGAGUUAACUACUCAAGUUUAUACUAAUCACAUCUCUACAGUGAUAACGGCUAAGAAAUUAGGUAAUACGAAUUACCCUAAUUUCUCCCCCAUUCCAGUCGAUUGCUCCCCGUCCGGCGAGCC